This 205-nucleotide long non-coding RNA is filed under the name Elaeis guineensis (African oil palm). RNAcentral's name for it is "long non-coding RNA (EGUI_LNC011318)". Lineage: Eukaryota; Viridiplantae; Streptophyta; Magnoliopsida; Arecales; Arecaceae. The record is from RNAcentral.
ACAGCAAUCUAUUUUGUUAAAUUAUGAUUUAUUAUAGUCAAAAGGUUUUUCGCAUUAGAAAAUAUACUCUUUUGAAAUAUGUUAAGAUAUUUCAUAUUUAUUAAAAUAUUUUAUGAAAAGUUCAAAUCUGAUAUUUUAAUAAUUAUUUUUAGAGCAUCUUACUGCAUAUUAUUAUUCAACUCAUGGCACCGCCAUGUGCUACUAU